RNAcentral lists this transfer RNA (74 nucleotides) under Danionella translucida. It matches the Rfam family "tRNA". From Rfam's summary of the family: Transfer RNA (tRNA) molecules are approximately 80 nucleotides in length. Lineage: Eukaryota; Metazoa; Chordata; Actinopteri; Cypriniformes; Danionidae. RNAcentral also lists the same sequence under 1 other name. The record is from Rfam by way of RNAcentral.
GUUUCCGUAGUGUAGUGGUCAUCACGUUUGCCUAACACGCAAAAUGGUCCUCAGUUCGAAACUGGGCGGAAACA